Ribosomal RNA from Erinaceus europaeus (western European hedgehog), 110 nucleotides. Lineage: Eukaryota; Metazoa; Chordata; Mammalia; Eulipotyphla; Erinaceidae. The record is from Ensembl.
GUCUACGGCCAUACCACCCCGAACACGCCCGAUCUCGUCUGAACUCGGAAGCUAAGCAGGGUCGGGCCUGGUUAGUACUGGGAUGGGAGAAGACAGAUUGAGGGUUAACA